This 443-nucleotide ribosomal RNA is filed under the name uncultured Leptotrichia sp. Its description in RNAcentral is "bacterial SSU rRNA". It matches the Rfam family "Bacterial small subunit ribosomal RNA", at positions 338 to 795 of the family's 1533-position model. The record is from RNAcentral. Lineage: Bacteria; Fusobacteriati; Fusobacteriota; Fusobacteriia; Fusobacteriales; Leptotrichiaceae.
CCUACGGGAGGCAGCAGUGGGGAAUAUUGGACAAUGGAGGAGACUCUGAUCCAGCAAUUCUGUGUGCACGAAGAAGGUUUUCGGAUUGUAAAGUGCUUUCAGUGGGGAAGAAGGAAGUGACGGUACCCACAGAAGAAGCGACGGCUAAAUACGUGCCAGCAGCCGCGGUAAUACGUAUGUCGCGAGCGUUAUCCGGAAUUAUUGGGCAUAAAGGGCAUCUAGGCGGACGAUCAAGUCAGGGGUGAAAACUUGCGGCUCAACUGUAAGCUUGCCUUUGAAACUGAUUGUCUAGAGUAUUGGAAAGGUGGGCGGAACUACACGAGUAGAGGUGAAAUUCGUAGAUAUGUGUAGGAAUGCCGAUGAUGAAGAUAGCUCACUGGACGAUAACUGACGCUGAAGUGCGAAAGCUAGGGGAGCGAACAGGAUUAGAUACCCCAGUAGUC